AUCUACUACACAGAACACGUAUGCUUAUGUCACUGACAUGUUCACGCUUCGAUGCAAGAAAAGGAAAAAGGAAAAUUCUUAAUCUUCGUGGCUAGGUGGAAGAUAGCUCCUAAUGGAUUUCUCAUAACCUAAAAAAUCUCGAAGUUCGUAGGUUAGACGCCUGUAGAAUGGCAAUCCAUUCAUCAACAGCAUACUCCAGAAAUGUAAUCAAUCCAAUAAAGACAGUUUAAUUACAAA
Long non-coding RNA from Ooceraea biroi (clonal raider ant), 237 nucleotides. RefSeq lists it as uncharacterized. Lineage: Eukaryota; Metazoa; Arthropoda; Insecta; Hymenoptera; Formicidae. The record is from RefSeq and is a predicted model, not a curated record.